RNAcentral lists this ribosomal RNA (465 nucleotides) under uncultured bacterium. RNAcentral's name for it is "partial 16S ribosomal RNA". It matches the Rfam family "Bacterial small subunit ribosomal RNA", at positions 28 to 507 of the family's 1533-position model. The record is from RNAcentral.
GACGGACGCUGGCGGCGUGCUUAACACAUGCAAGUCGAACGGAAAGGCCCCAGCUUGCUGGGGUACUCGAGUGGCGAACGGGUGAGUAACACGUGGGUGAUCUGCCCUGCACUCUGGGAUAAGCCUGGGAAACUGGGUCUAAUACCGGAUAGGACCGUGCUUUAGUGUGUGCGGUGGAAAGUUUUUCGGUGCAGGAUGAGCCCGCGGCCUAUCAGCUUGUUGGUGGGGUAAUGGCCUACCAAGGCGGCGACGGGUAGCCGGCCUGAGAGGGUGUACGGCCACAGUGGGACUGAGACACGGCCCAGACUCCUACGGGAGGCAGCAGUGGGGAAUAUUGCACAAUGGGCGCAAGCCUGAUGCAGCGACGCCGCGUGGGGGAUGACGGCCUUCGGGUUGUAAACCCCUUUCGGCAGGGACGAAGCUUUUGUGACGGUACCUGCAUAAGAAGCACCGGCUAACUACGUG